GCAUACUUGCUUCGACAGUGCAUGUACUGAAAUUGGACCGAUACAGAGAAGAUUUGCGUGGCCCUUGAGCAAGGAUGAAGUACACUCAUGAAGCGUCCCAUACUUUU
Small nuclear RNA from Echinops telfairi (small Madagascar hedgehog), 107 nucleotides. The record is from RefSeq and is a predicted model, not a curated record. NCBI's taxonomy places the organism in Eukaryota, Metazoa, Chordata, Mammalia, Afrosoricida, Tenrecidae.